GACGAACGCUGGCGGCGUGCUUAACACAUGCAAGUCGAACGGAAAGGCCCUGCUUUUGUGGGGUGCUCGAGUGGCGAACGGGUGAGUAACACGUGAGUAACCUGCCCUUGACUUUGGGAUAACUUCAGGAAACUGGGGCUAAUACCGGAUAGGAGCUCCUGCUGCAUGGUGGGGGUUGGAAAGUUUCGGCGGUUGGGGAUGGACUCGCGGCUUAUCAGCUUGUUGGUGGGGUAGUGGCUUACCAAGGCUUUGACGGGUAGCCGGCCUGAGAGGGUGACCGGCCAAAUUGGGACUGAGAUACGGCCCAGGCUCCUACGGGAGGCAGGAGUGGGGAAAAUUGCACAAUGGGCGGAAGCCUGAUGCAGCAACGCCGCGUGCGGGAUGACGGCCUUCGGGUUGUAAACCGCUUUCGCCUGUGACGAAGCGUGAGUGACGGUAAUGGGUAAAGAAGCACCGGCUAACUACGU
Molecule: ribosomal RNA, 467 nt
Filed under: uncultured bacterium
Lineage: Bacteria
Description: partial 16S ribosomal RNA
Rfam family: Bacterial small subunit ribosomal RNA
Source: RNAcentral